GUAAUAAACUGACUGCCGCUUUAGAAAGACGUAACAUCUGUCCUCUCGUGUUUUCACAGGUUAUGGUCGAUGAGAAGAGGCUUGGUCGACCAAAUUUCAAUUGGUUGGUUGGGAGCAGAGAAUAAAAAAACUUCACAGGAAGUGGCGAAGUCACACAGUCCAUGAGGGUUAUGGGAUAUCAUAUGGAGCAAAGGAUACAUGCAAGUGGUUUUCUCUCCUAGUCCUGGGGACCCACAUCUCAGUUCAGUUCAUGGAGCCCUUUCCUAAUGAUGAUCUGGAUCAGGUGUGUUAAAGAAGGAAGACAUAAAAUAUGCAGAGUGCUGCAAAACAAUGUUAACAAUAAAAUUGUUCUUAAAGGAUUAGUUCACUUUCAAAUAAAUUUUUCCUGA
This is a long non-coding RNA of Megalobrama amblycephala (Wuchang bream), 389 nucleotides long. RefSeq lists it as uncharacterized. The transcript has 3 exons. NCBI's taxonomy places the organism in Eukaryota, Metazoa, Chordata, Actinopteri, Cypriniformes, Xenocyprididae. The record is from RefSeq and is a predicted model, not a curated record.